AGAGUUUGAUCCUGGCUCAGGACGAACGCUGGCGGCGUGCCUAACACAUGCAAGUCGAACGGGGUGAACCUUCGGGUUCACUUAGUGGCGAACGGGAGAGUAACGCGUGAGGAACCUGCCUUUCAGUGGGGGACAACAGUUGGAAACGACUGCUAAUACCGCAUAAUGUCAUCGGGCGGCAUCGCUUGAUGACCAAAGAUUUAUUGCUGAAAGAUGGCCUCGCGUCUGAUUAGCUAGUUGGUGAGGUAACGGCUCACCAAGGCGACGAUCAGUAGCCGGUCUGAGAGGAUGAACGGCCACAUUGGGACUGAGAUACGGCCCAGACUCCUACGGGAGGCAGCAGUGGGGAAUAUUGGGCAAUGGGGGAAACCCUGACCCAGCAACGCCGCGUGAAGGAAGAAGGCCUUCGGGUUGUAAACUUCUUUUAGCAGGGACGAAGAACGUGACGGUACCUGCAGAAAAAGCAACGGCUAACUACGUGCCAGCAGCCGCGGUAAUACGUAGGUUGCAAGCGUUGUCCGGAUUUACUGGGUGUAAAGGGCGUGUAGGCGGAGAUGCAAGUCAGGAGUGAAAUCCCGGGGCUCAACCCCGGAACUGCUUUUGAAACUGCAUCCCUUGAGUAUCGGAGAGGCAAGCGGAAUUCCUAGUGUAGCGGUGAAAUGCGUAGAUAUUAGGAGGAACACCAGUGGCGAAGGCGGCUUGCUGGACGACAACUGACGCUGAGGCGCGAAAGCGUGGGGAGCAAACAGGAUUAGAUACCCUGGUAGUCC
Molecule: ribosomal RNA, 770 nt
Filed under: uncultured bacterium
Lineage: Bacteria
Description: bacterial SSU rRNA
Rfam family: Bacterial small subunit ribosomal RNA
Source: RNAcentral